This 353-nucleotide unclassified non-coding RNA is filed under the name Hevea brasiliensis (rubber tree). Lineage: Eukaryota; Viridiplantae; Streptophyta; Magnoliopsida; Malpighiales; Euphorbiaceae. The record is from RNAcentral.
GGGCCUCAUUAUAACAUGGAAUGCAAAAGUAGUGUCGUGUAUCACCGGCUCCAAUGGUAUAAUACAUCGCAUUACGUUUAAUACGAGCACCACAUGGAGUACAAUAUAUGGGUGGGGGUUCAAAAUUUAGCUUCUCAACUGCACAUAACUGACAAGAAUUUUCACUCAUAGAAUGCUCCAUUGCUUGAUUUUUUUCUGCUUUUGCUUUGCUCUGGCCUAUCCAUUGUCUCAGACCUUUAAUGUGUUCCCGGACCUGCUCUGGGGUAAAAAGUUCCAUCAUCGACACCCCUUUUAUUUUAGGCUUUCCAGAUUUGGAUCCGCUUGUACUUUCAGAGGGCACUGACGUAUUUUCC